CUUCUUCACUUAUUCCCCAAUUCAAUUUCAAAAUAAAACCCGAGAACACAAGCAAUCCCCACACCGAAAGUGGAUCGAUCGAAAAGAAGAGCAGCGGCGCCUCUCCCUUGCCGCCCGUCGGUCACUGCUGCUGCUGCGCCGCUCUGAUCAGCACCGCACGGCUGAGUUUUCGGAGCUUCCCGACGUGGUGAAGCAGCCGUCUCGCUGACGGCCCGGUUUGGGCACUGCGGCUUGCUGCCGCUGCCGCUGGUCCCGCCGUCAUCGGAGUCGUAACGUUGGAGAAGGAGAGGAGGCAUUGCCUUUCCCUCUCUCUGCAGAUACCUCCGGCCGAGCAGCUGCUGCCCGGUGCCGUCUACGCUGCCGUCCGCCCUCGCCGGAUCCCGACCGGUAGAUUUGUGAAGGCCCUGAACUUAUAAAUGGUUAUGAGAUUUGUGUGGCUGCCAUCGCCGUCGGGGAGUCGCCGAAGCAACUGUCGGAACAAGCCACCGAGAUAAGCUUCCUAACUUUCGUUUAUUAUAGUCUUAAAACUUGUGUUGGCCAUUUUAUGAGUUUGAUGCACUUAUGCAUAUUUUGACAUUUUUGGAACACUUUGUAGUCCAGAAUUUUGCUCGUUUGUGUUGGGCAGAUUCUAAUCCUUAGUUUGAAUGCUAUGCAUAAAACUUGUUUUCCAUGUAUUCGUGUGACUUUCUAAAUGAAUGACAAGAGCUAUUAGAAUUGGUGUGGUGAUUACCUGACUUUCUUUGAGUGGCUGUCGGUGCAAGCUGGUGGUGCAAGGGAGCUCCUUUACUCCGUCCCUUACUAUUACUCUCUGCUCACUCUAACUUUCUUUACUCACUCUCUAACUCUCGACAAUGGAUGUGGUCAUAUUGUGGUGUAAAGAAGGUUUUUUUUUGUAGGUAAACAUAUGUACUCGGUGCUAUUAAAGGGGAUGAUGUAUUCCCUUGUCCUCUCUCUGCAGUAAAUCCUUUAUUUUGAUUCUUUGCAGCUGCUUUAACUAACUUCUGGUGAUGUACCAGGAAUAGAGACUUUUGUAUUUGUCCUAUUAGCUGAUUUUGUAGGGGAUAUCAUCAGAGGCUGCAGAAUUUGUUAGAAGCAGGGGUGCAGAGUCGCUGCGGCUGCCCCCUGGCUCGGCAGCUUUCGGUUAUGUCUGGGGGGUACAAACUGUCGGAUGCAGCCUUGCAGGGAUCCUGCAGCUACUGGAUUGGUUCUGCCGGCUGGACUUGCCCUUUUCCAGCCCAUCUUUCUCUCAUUUUUCUGAAAGCGAUUGAGGCUGGCUACACAUGACUCAUUAUCCAAAGUUCCAGCCCAUCGGGCCUCUCCGAAACUAGGCCGAGACAGCUUGCGCUGAAGGCCGAGGAAGUUCUCUAGGAACUCUUGAUUGUAAUAGAGUAGCUCGGUUUAAGUUUCUCUCUUUUUCUUUACUCUAACAUGUAUGUAGAGUCUAUUGAAAUUAAUGUGUUUCUAUUUUCCUUUGCUCUCUUUGAACAUUUGUAAGCUUAGACUUUAGCUCGAAAUACUAAAAUGUUGUGUUGCUCAAGAAAUAAAUAAAUAUUCUUUCUUUCUCUUUAUUUAAA
Long non-coding RNA from Salvia splendens (bonfire salvia), 1574 nucleotides. RefSeq lists it as uncharacterized. NCBI's taxonomy places the organism in Eukaryota, Viridiplantae, Streptophyta, Magnoliopsida, Lamiales, Lamiaceae. The record is from RefSeq and is a predicted model, not a curated record. The transcript has 3 exons.